This is a non-coding RNA of Chiloscyllium plagiosum (whitespotted bambooshark), 439 nucleotides long. The record is from RefSeq and is a predicted model, not a curated record. Lineage: Eukaryota; Metazoa; Chordata; Chondrichthyes; Orectolobiformes; Hemiscylliidae.
CAUAGAGGGCAGUGGCCAUAACGUGAUAGAAUUAACACUGCAGUUUGAGAAGGAGAAGCUGGAAUCAGGUGCAAGGUAUUAUAACUGAUUAAAAGGUAACCACAAGACUGGAGGGAGGAGCUGGCUAGAGUUGAUUGGAAGGAGAACCUACCAGGGAAGGCAAUGCAUCAGCAAUGGCAGGAGUUUCUGGGGUAAUUCAGGAGGCAAGCAGAAAUUAAUCUCAAGGAAGAAGGAACUACUAAGGACAAGGCAACCGUGGCUGACAAGUUUGACUUCAAGGUCAACAGGGGUUGAAACAACUGACUUAGUGAGAACAAGGACAUUUUCCAGACCAAUAACCACAACCAGCCUCCUAACUGUUUAAAUGGAGCCGAACGCAACUUGGAAGAACAGCACGCCAUGUUUUGACCAGGCACUUUUUGCUUUUUGUCUUUUGCAU